CCCUUAGAUGUUCUGGGCAGCACGCGCGCUACAAUGGUCUUCGCAAACGGAUGCAUUCUCGAAGGAGAAUGCCAAUCUUGGAAUCUAUGCCUUGGUCGGGACAGUUGCUUGCAAUUUUUCGACUCGAACCAGGAAUUCCUUGUAAUCGUGAUUCAUCACAUCACGAUGAAUACGUCCCUGCCGUUUGUACACACCGCCCGUCGUUUCUUCCGACUGAUACUCAUUGUGAGUUGCAAGGACGCUUCAUUGUGAAAUUGCUGCGAAUGCUUUGUAUUGGAGGAAGAAAAAGUCGUAACA
RNAcentral lists this ribosomal RNA (297 nucleotides) under uncultured eukaryote. RNAcentral's name for it is "partial 18S ribosomal RNA". It matches the Rfam family "Eukaryotic small subunit ribosomal RNA", at positions 1470 to 1796 of the family's 1831-position model. The record is from RNAcentral.